RNAcentral lists this ribosomal RNA (200 nucleotides) under uncultured bacterium. Its description in RNAcentral is "partial 16S ribosomal RNA". It matches the Rfam family "Bacterial small subunit ribosomal RNA", at positions 8 to 207 of the family's 1533-position model. The record is from RNAcentral.
AGAGUUUGAUCAUGGCUCAGAACGAACGCUGGCGGCGUGCCUAACACAUGCAAGUCGAGCGAGAAAGGGAGCAAUCCUGAGUACAGCGGCGCACGGGUGCGUAACACGUGGGUAAUCUUCCUCCGGGUUGGGAAUAACCCUUCGAAAGGAGGGCUAAUACCGAAUAAGCCCACGGCCUCUUCGGAGGCUGAGGGAAAAGG